Molecule: non-coding RNA, 1843 nt
Organism: Maylandia zebra (zebra mbuna)
Lineage: Eukaryota; Metazoa; Chordata; Actinopteri; Cichliformes; Cichlidae
Source: RefSeq, a predicted model, not a curated record
CAGCCGGCUCCACUCUCCGACAUUAAUUCACUCGUGCACUUUGAAUGUGCCUAAUGAAACAUGUUUGCUGUAACAUCUCUGUGGCUCUGCUGGACUUUACUGUCUGUCUCCCUCGUGGGCUUUACCUGGGCAGACCACAAAAACGUCACAGCUGAGUCUGGAAAGAACGUCACUCUGACAUGUCGAGCUCCAAAUAACAACAUAGUAGUACAAUGGAGCAGAGCUGACCUGCAGCCAGAAUAUGUUCUUUUGUACCGAGACAAGCAGUUUAUUCCAAAUCACCAGCAUCUAUCUUUUAAGAACCGGGUGGAUCUGCAGGACAAACAGAUGAAGGAUGGAGACGUGUCUUUGAUUUUGAAGGAUGUGAUGAUUAAUGACACUGGAACAUACGAGUGUCGUGUCUUCAUGAGAGAAACACGCUCAUGGAAGUCCAGCAUCAUCAUGUGUUGUUGAUCCUCCAGGUCAGCCAGGAGGAGACACAGAGGAUGGACAGGAGGAAGAUGGAGUUGGUAGAAGUCAUCAUGGUCGACUGAUGGCUUCUGUUUUAUUAGUUGCUGUGAUCAUUCUUGUUUUUGCAGUUGUGAUCUCUAAAAAACACAAGAAAGAUCCUCCUCUUCAUCCUCCUGAUGAAGAAGCAAAGAAGGAAAUGGUCUGAAGCAAAGCACCAUGGAACAAGAGAGAGAGAGAGAGAGAAUACAUUAAACUAGUUAAAAACGUUUAACUAUAAAAAUGACAUAUUUAUACGUAUAGAUAGAUAGUUGUAUGAGGGCAACAUCACAAGGAGAACAAACAGAAUAUAAACCAGUGUGUUUCACACUGAAUGUGUUCAGGUCUGAGCUGCUGUGUGGACUAUUUUAGUUUAAUAUCAGAAGCUGUUUGAGUUACAUUUCAUUACCCAGAUGGUAACAGCUCCACACCAUCUGAUAAGUUUUGGUUAUUUGAUUGCGGUUAAAUAUUUAUGUAAAGCAAACUGUCAGAGAAACUCUUUGAUCUGUGUUGGUUCCUCUUGAUGUCAGUGCUGACUUUGAUUCUGUGGAUCACUGCAGACAUUUAGAGACAUUGAUAGAGACUCUGAGAGUUUCUAACUGGAUUAAAUUGCACAGAUGGAGGAUUCUUUGUACGUGGUAAUGAAUCUUCAUCCAGGAGCUACAAACUGAGCUAUGGCGUUCCACAGGGUCAGAUCUGGGACCAGUGAUUUUAACAUUUACAGGCUGUAACUUUGUGAUGUCAUCAGGAGACACAGAAUGAGUACACACGAUUACACUGAUGAUGUUGCUGUGUCUCCUGAUGACACAGAGCCAGUCAGAUCUAUCUGCAUCUUACAUAUUAAAUCCUGGAUGGCUGCAAACUUCCUCCAACUCACUUAGGAUGUGGAGACACUGACUCCUCCUUUCAUCUCCUGCAGGGUUGCUUACUGCAGUGCUCAUCUUUUUAGUUUUUCAAAGAAACACUUGUCACUGCAGCUGCUUUAAAAAUCAACUCCACAGCCUUAAUUACACCAAUGUUAUCGUCUCUGCAGUCAGAGUCAUCUUUAAGAUCCUUUUACUGGUUUUUAACACUCAGGAGUUCAGGACCUUCUCAUCUUUCAGAUUUACUUUUAUGCUACGAGCACUUCAGAGACAGAGGAGACAGUUGACCAUCUUUUAUUUAUCAUGCUGCACUUUAUUUCACUUUACUUUUGAUGUAUUUACUAUUUUCUUUGUUUAUUCCCUUUUCAUUAUAUUUCAUGUAUUCCUAGUAGCCUUGUAAUGUUAUUUAUUGUUUCUUUUUAAUCUCCAGUGUUUCUGUAUGAUGAGUGUCUGAUCUCUGGGUGUGGGAGUGGGGAUGGAGGGGUGAUGAGAGG